This 562-nucleotide ribosomal RNA is filed under the name Streptomyces sp. Its description in RNAcentral is "bacterial SSU rRNA". It matches the Rfam family "Bacterial small subunit ribosomal RNA", at positions 484 to 1045 of the family's 1533-position model. The record is from RNAcentral. Lineage: Bacteria; Bacillati; Actinomycetota; Actinomycetes; Kitasatosporales; Streptomycetaceae.
GAAGAAGCGCCGGCUAACUACGUGCCAGCAGCCGCGGUAAUACGUAGGGCGCAAGCGUUGUCCGGAAUUAUUGGGCGUAAAGAGCUCGUAGGCGGCUUGUUGCGUCGGAUGUGAAAGCCCGGGGCUUAACCCCGGGUCUGCAUUCGAUACGGGCAGGCUAGAGUUCGGUAGGGGAGAUCGGAAUUCCUGGUGUAGCGGUGAAAUGCGCAGAUAUCAGGAGGAACACCGGUGGCGAAGGCGGAUCUCUGGGCCGAUACUGACGCUGAGGAGCGAAAGCGUGGGGAGCGAACAGGAUUAGAUACCCUGGUAGUCCACGCCGUAAACGUUGGGAACUAGGUGUGGGCGACAUUCCACGUCGUCCGUGCCGCAGCUAACGCAUUAAGUUCCCCGCCUGGGGAGUACGGCCGCAAGGCUAAAACUCAAAGGAAUUGACGGGGGCCCGCACAAGCAGCGGAGCAUGUGGCUUAAUUCGACGCAACGCGAAGAACCUUACCAAGGCUUGACAUACACCGGAAACGGCCAGAGAUGGUCGCCCCCUUGUGGUCGGUGUACAGGUGGUGCA